UUACAGUAUUCUUUUGCC
RNAcentral lists this ribosomal RNA (18 nucleotides) under Meyerozyma guilliermondii. Its description in RNAcentral is "partial 18S ribosomal RNA". Lineage: Eukaryota; Fungi; Ascomycota; Pichiomycetes; Serinales; Debaryomycetaceae. The record is from RNAcentral.